Non-coding RNA from Acanthosepion pharaonis, 114 nucleotides. Lineage: Eukaryota; Metazoa; Mollusca; Cephalopoda; Sepiida; Sepiidae. The record is from the annotation of a GenBank genome assembly.
UUACAGCCAUAUCACGUUGAAACAUCAGUUCUCGUCCGAUCACAUAAAAUUAAGCAAUGUCGAGCCUGAUCAGUACCUAGAUAGGUGACCGCUGGGGAAUACCAGAUGCUGUUA